AUUGAACGCUGGCGGCAGGCCUAACACAUGCAAGUCGAGCGGAUGAAGGGAGCUUGCUCCUGGAUUCAGCGGCGGACGGGUGAGUAAUGCCUAGGAAUCUGCCUGGUAGUGGGGGAUAACGUCCGGAAACGGGCGCUAAUACCGCAUACGUCCUGAGGGAGAAAGUGGGGGAUCUUCGGACCUCACGCUAUCAGAUGAGCCUAGGUCGGAUUAGCUAGUUGGUGGGGUAAAGGCCUACCAAGGCGACGAUCCGUAACUGGUCUGAGAGGAUGAUCAGUCACACUGGACCUGAGACGCGGUCCAGACUCCUACGGGAGGCAGCAGUGGGGAAUAUUGGACAAUGGGCGAAAGCCUGAUCCAGCCAUGCCGCGUGUGUGAAGAAGGUCUUCGGAUUGUAAAGCACUUUAAGUUGGGAGGAAGGGCAGUAAGUUAAUACCUUGCUGUUUGGACGUUACCAACAGAAUAAGCACCGGCUAACUUCGU
RNAcentral lists this ribosomal RNA (483 nucleotides) under uncultured bacterium. RNAcentral's name for it is "partial 16S ribosomal RNA". It matches the Rfam family "Bacterial small subunit ribosomal RNA", at positions 30 to 506 of the family's 1533-position model. The record is from RNAcentral.